RNAcentral lists this ribosomal RNA (253 nucleotides) under uncultured bacterium. Its description in RNAcentral is "partial 16S ribosomal RNA". It matches the Rfam family "Bacterial small subunit ribosomal RNA", at positions 524 to 776 of the family's 1533-position model. The record is from RNAcentral.
UACGUAGGGGGCAAGCGUUGUCCGGAUUCAUUGGGCGUAAAGAGCGUGUAGGCGGCCAGGUAGGUCCGGUGUGAAAACUCGAGGCUUAACCUCGAGAUGUCAUCGGAAACCAUUUGGCUAGAGUCCGGAAGAGGAAAGUGGAAUUCCUGGUGUAGCGGUGAAAUGCGCAGAUAUCAGGAAGAACACCAAUGGCGAAAGCAGCUUUCUGGGACGGUACUGACGCUGAGACGCGAAAGCGUGGGGAGCGAACAGG